Molecule: non-coding RNA, 117 nt
Organism: Erinaceus europaeus (western European hedgehog)
Lineage: Eukaryota; Metazoa; Chordata; Mammalia; Eulipotyphla; Erinaceidae
Source: Rfam
UCUGCCUACAAAGGUGUGUGUAUGGUUCCAUGUCUUUGGAUAAAUGAGAAAUAUGGAAUUGGAGAAAUCUUAGGCCAGCUUGCUCCCUGCAGGCUAAAGAUCCACCUUUCCACAAAA